Molecule: small RNA, 525 nt
Filed under: Pongo abelii (Sumatran orangutan)
Lineage: Eukaryota; Metazoa; Chordata; Mammalia; Primates; Hominidae
Description: processed transcript
Source: RNAcentral
AGAUGAGGUGCUGAGCAGAGGAUGAACAUAGCCUUGGUCUGAUCCCUUUAUGAGUCAGAUGGUUUUCUUCCUGUGAGGAUUGUGCUCAUGGAUGAUGCCAUGGACUGCUUGAUGUCUUUUUCAGAUUUCCUCUUUGCCUUCCAGAUCCAGUUUUACUACUCAGAAUUCCUGGACAGUGUGGCUGCCAUCUAUGAGAACCUGCUGUCAGGCAAGAACCCCAACACAGUGAUUGUGCCGACGUCGUCCAGUGGGCAGCACCGCCAACGACCUGCCUUGGGCGAGGCCGGCAUGCUGGAGGGCGUGGAGGCAUCGCUGUUCUACCAGUGUCUGGAAAACCUGUGUGAUCGGCACAAGUACAGCUGCCCACCCCCAGCACUUGUCAAAGAGGCUCUUAGCAAUGUUCAGAGACUGACCUUCUAUGGAUUCCUCAUGGCUCUCUCAAAGCACCAUGGAAUCAACCAAGCCCUCGGUAAGUCAGAGCUAGCAGCCAUCAGCCUCUCCUGCCGCACAACACAGGGAGCAGCU